UAAGACUUGAUAUUUCUUAUAAACAAUUUUUAUGGCUUCUUCAUCACUUGUUCUUUUUCCGGCUAUGAAAUUGUCAUCUACCAAAUUUAGGAUCACUCAAAGGCUAUCCAAAAUCAAAGCUCAGAUCUAUAGAGAUGAAGGAGGAAAAUCAAGGCAUGUUGUUGAUGCAAAUUUACAAGUAUUGAGGGGAAGGAUAGAAGAAGUGAAGAUAAAAGAGAGAUUGGAGAAAUGUUUGGUAUGUGAACAAGGUUGGAAUUACACACCUACAAAUUCAAAAUUAUAUUAUGAGAAGAAACACAAAAAACAAUUGGAUGAAUUUGUUGAACUUAUUUUCAUGGUUGGUGGGACUAUUGGAUUCACUAUCUUUGGCUGCUCUCUUUGCCUCUACCUAACUUCCCUUCUCAUUCAUUUUAAUCAUUGAAACUGAGCAUUGUGGUGAAUUUUACAUUUUGUAAUUAUAAUAAGUUAACUAUAAUACGAUUAUUUUGAUUUACAUAUUUGUAAUGGCAGAGCUUUAUUUUAGACUAGCUCUGCUAUAUUAUCAUCUUCAUGACAUUUAAUUAAAUCCGCUGUGUAAUGUUUCCUUCUUAGUACAAAACAGAUAUUAGAAAACUUUGCGGAGAAA
Long non-coding RNA from Solanum pennellii, 625 nucleotides. RefSeq lists it as uncharacterized. Lineage: Eukaryota; Viridiplantae; Streptophyta; Magnoliopsida; Solanales; Solanaceae. The record is from RefSeq and is a predicted model, not a curated record. The transcript is spliced from 2 exons.